GUGGGGAAUAUUGCACAAUGGGGGAAACCCUGAUGCAGCGACGCCGCGUGAGUGAUGAAGUAUUUCGGUAUGUAAAGCUCUAUCAGCAGGGAAGAUAAUGACGGUACCUGACUAAGAAGCACCGGCUAAAUACGUGCCAGCAGCCGCGGUAAUACGUAUGGUGCAAGCGUUAUCCGGAUUUACUGGGUGUAAAGGGUGCGUAGGUGGUGAGACAAGUCUGAAGUGAAAAUCCGGGGCUUAACCCCGGAACUGCUUUGGAAACUGCCUGACUAGAGUACAGGAGAGGUAAGUGGAAUUCCUAGUGUAGCGGUGAAAUGCGUAGAUAUUAGGAGGAACACCAGUGGCGAAGGCGACUUACUGGACUGCUACUGACACUGAGGCACGAAAGCGUGGGGAGCAAACAGGAUUAGAAACCCCGGUAGUCC
Molecule: ribosomal RNA, 425 nt
Filed under: uncultured bacterium
Lineage: Bacteria
Description: partial 16S ribosomal RNA
Rfam family: Bacterial small subunit ribosomal RNA
Source: RNAcentral